AAUAAGUUUAGUUUUGUCUUGAAAUAAGGCUUUUUAAUGGUAAUAUAUGUAUAGUUUUAAAAGUUUAAAAUUUAUCUAAAAGGUAAUUUAAUAUUUUAUUUUCAGUAUUUAAUAUUUUAUUUUAAUUAAUGUUAAUUAAGUUAUUUAAUUUAGAUUUGAAAAAUAAUGUGCCAGCAUUCGCGGUUAUACCUUGUUUUCGAGUUUUAUUUUUUGGUUAAAGUUUUUUUUUAUAAUUUAGAUUUUUAAUUUAUUUGGGUGAAAUUUCAUUUUUAAUUUAUUAGUUAUUUGUCUUUAAAAUUUAGGUUUAAACUAGGAUUAGAUACCCUAUUAUUUCUAAUUUAACAGUUUUAUCCUAGGAUUAUAUUUAUUUUAAAAUAAAAAGACUUGGCGGUUAUUUAAUCUUAUUAGAGGAACCUGUUAUUUAAAUGAUAAUCCACGAUUUUUUUUUACCUUUAUUUUCUUGUAUAUCUCUGUCGUAGAAUGUAUUGUUAAAUUAAUUUUCUUUAUUUUUUAUUAAUUUUAUGUUAGGUCAAGGUGCAGUUAUAUAAUGGAUUUAAUGGGUUACAUUAAUAAGUGUUUUUUUUGAUUAAUUUAUUUGUUUAAUUAUAAAUUUGGAUUUAAAAGUAAUUAUUUUUAUUAAAUUUUUUGAAUUUAGCUCUAAAUAAUGUACAUAUCGCCCGUCACUCUCAUAAAUUGAGAUAAGUCGUAACAAAGUAGAUGUACUGGAAAGUGUAUCUAGAAUCAG
This 745-nucleotide non-coding RNA is filed under the name Oliarus cf. filicicola HI01081. The record is from RNAcentral. Lineage: Eukaryota; Metazoa; Arthropoda; Insecta; Hemiptera; Cixiidae.